Rhinopithecus roxellana (golden snub-nosed monkey) is the source of this 531-nucleotide long non-coding RNA. RefSeq lists it as uncharacterized. The record is from RefSeq and is a predicted model, not a curated record. Lineage: Eukaryota; Metazoa; Chordata; Mammalia; Primates; Cercopithecidae. The transcript has 3 exons.
UCACAGAACCGCUCUAUGCAAAACAACUCCCUCUUUGUGAAAUCCAGGAACAUCAUGGCUGAGGCAAACAGAAAGGUUCAGAAGAAAUCAGGCACACUAUCCAGUCUGUGGCCACCAGACCAAAGGACCUUGGGAGGCAUUUGGAAAAAGGAGUGCAAGGCUUGACUUCCUGGGAAAGCAAGUGAGCUCCACUGGAGAGAGGACAAUCCCUUCAUGAUCUAGAGCCCGAAGAUAGGAUCUUCUGAGAACAUCAGAGAAAGACUAUCUCUACCAUCCACACUACAGCAAAACUUUGGAGCCUUGAACCUUGGGUUCAUAAUCUCACAACUGAGAAGGGUCCCUCCACACUCCUACAACUGUACACCCAUUGAAACCCUUAAGGUAAAACUAACCAGAAAGUUUCUCCCCACAAGAAGAUGGCAUCCUCGAUGUGAACUGCUUUUCCCAAGAUCACUAAUCAAGACUUCCACUAUUGAGAGACUUACCUUUGAAUAUAUUUUCCUUGUUUGUGUCUCUGAACAAUAGAAAUGA